RNAcentral lists this small RNA (27 nucleotides) under Bombyx mori (domestic silkworm). RNAcentral's name for it is "piRNA piR-bmo-1364926". Lineage: Eukaryota; Metazoa; Arthropoda; Insecta; Lepidoptera; Bombycidae. The record is from RNAcentral.
UGUAACAUUGUAUGGUUGGGUAAAUAU